GCUGGCGGACAUGCCUUACACAUGCAAGUCGAACGGCAGCGCGGGAGCAAUCCUGGCGGCGAGUGGCGAACGGGUGAGUAAUAUAUCGGAACGUGCCCAGUCGUGGGGGAUAGCCCGGCGAAAGCCGGAUUAAUACCGCAUACGACCUGAGGGUGAAAGCGGGGGAUCGCAAGACCUCGCGCUACUGGAGCGGCCGAUAUCAGAUUAGCUAGUUGGUGGGGUAAAGGCCUACCAAGGCAACGAUCUGUAGUUGGUCUGAGAGGACGACCAGCCACACUGGGACUGAGACACGGCCCAGACUCCUACGGGAGGCAGCAGUGGGGAAUUUUGGACAAUGGGCGCAAGCCUGAUCCAGCAAUGCCGCGUGCAGGAAGAAGGCCUUCGGGUUGUAAACUGCUUUUGUCAGGGAAGAAAUCUUCUGGGCUAAUACCCCGGGAGGAUGACGGUACCUGAAGA
RNAcentral lists this ribosomal RNA (456 nucleotides) under uncultured Burkholderiales bacterium. Its description in RNAcentral is "bacterial SSU rRNA". It matches the Rfam family "Bacterial small subunit ribosomal RNA", at positions 35 to 485 of the family's 1533-position model. Lineage: Bacteria; Pseudomonadati; Pseudomonadota; Betaproteobacteria; Burkholderiales. The record is from RNAcentral.